ACGCUCGACACCUACGAGAGGCAGCAGUGGGAAUAUUGCACAAUGGGGGAAACCCUGAUGCAGCAACGCCGCGUGAGUGAAGAAGUAUUUCGGUAUGUAAAGCUCUAUCAGCAGGGAAGAUAAUGACGGUACCUGACUAAGAAGCUCCGGCUAAAUACGUGCCAGCAGCCGUGGUAAUCUGAGCGGGCUGGCAAGGC
RNAcentral lists this ribosomal RNA (197 nucleotides) under uncultured bacterium. RNAcentral's name for it is "partial 16S ribosomal RNA". It matches the Rfam family "Bacterial small subunit ribosomal RNA", at positions 328 to 539 of the family's 1533-position model. The record is from RNAcentral.